CCUGCUCAGAGGCUUUGUACAGAGACGUGACUUUGGUGGAGAAUUUCAGCUCUCCUGUUUCUGUUGGUGAAGUGGAUUUUCUGUGACCUGAAAGGAAAGUUUUCAAAAGACAGGCAGACAGUUUAUGUAAGAUUUCCUGGAAAGGAAACUCACAAAGGAGUAGAGCGAUGGCUUCUUUUCAGGAUCCAUUGACAUUCAAGGAUGUGUCCAUAGACUUCUCCCAGGACGAG
This is a long non-coding RNA of Nannospalax galili (Upper Galilee mountains blind mole rat), 230 nucleotides long. RefSeq lists it as uncharacterized. The transcript is spliced from 3 exons. NCBI's taxonomy places the organism in Eukaryota, Metazoa, Chordata, Mammalia, Rodentia, Spalacidae. The record is from RefSeq and is a predicted model, not a curated record.